RNAcentral lists this ribosomal RNA (528 nucleotides) under uncultured fungus. RNAcentral's name for it is "eukaryotic LSU rRNA". The stretch from base 169 to 322 matches the Rfam family "5.8S ribosomal RNA". Lineage: Eukaryota; Fungi. The record is from RNAcentral.
AGGUGAACCUGCGGAAGGAUCAUUACCUAGAGUUUGUGGACUUCGGUCUGCUACCUCUUACCCAUGUCUUUUGAGUACCUUCGUUUCCUCGGCGGGUCCGCCCGCCGGUUGGACAACAUUCAAACCCUUUGCAGUUGCAAUCAGCGUCUGAAAAAACUUAAUAGUUACAACUUUCAACAACGGAUCUCUUGGUUCUGGCAUCGAUGAAGAACGCAGCGAAAUGCGAUAAGUAGUGUGAAUUGCAGAAUUCAGUGAAUCAUCGAAUCUUUGAACGCACAUUGCGCCCCUUGGUAUUCCAUGGGGCAUGCCUGUUCGAGCGUCAUUUGUACCUUCAAGCUCUGCUUGGUGUUGGGUGUUUUGCCUCGCCUCCGCGCGCAGACUCGCCUUAAAACAAUUGGCAGCCGGCGUAUUGAUUUCGGAGCGCAGUACAUCUCGCGCUUUGCACUCAUAACGACGACGUCCAAAAGUACAUUUUUACACUCUUGACCUCGGAUCAGGUAGGGAUACCCGCUGAACUUAAGCAUAUCA